RNAcentral lists this ribosomal RNA (550 nucleotides) under uncultured bacterium. RNAcentral describes it as "partial 16S ribosomal RNA". It matches the Rfam family "Bacterial small subunit ribosomal RNA", at positions 355 to 896 of the family's 1533-position model. The record is from RNAcentral.
UGGGGAAUAUUGGACAAUGGGCGCAAGCCUGAUCCAGCCAUACCGCGUGGGUGAAGAAGGCCUCGGGUUGUAAAGCCCUUUUGUUGGGAAAGAAAGCUUCGGUUAAUACCCGAUUGCUUCUGACGGUACCCAAAGAAUAAGCACCGGCUAACUUCGUGCCAGCAGCCGCGGUAAUACGAAGGGUGCAAGCGUUACUCGGAAUUACUGGGCGUAAAGCGUGCGUAGGUGGUUGUUUAAGUCUGUCGUGAAAGCCCCUGGGCUCAACCUGGGAAUUGCGAUGGAAACUGGGCGACUAGAGUGUGGCAGAGGGUAGUGGAAUUCCUGGUGUAGCAGUGAAAUGCGUAGAGAUCAGGAGGAACAUCCGUGGCGAAGGCGACUGCCUGGGCCAACACUGACACUGAGGCACGAAAGCGUGGGGAGCAAACAGGAUUAGAUACCCUGGUAGUCCACGCCCUAAACGAUGCGAACUGGAUGUUGGGUGCAAUUUUGGCACGCAGUAUCGAAGCUAACGCGUUAAGUUCGCCGCCUGGGGAGUACGGUCGCAAGACUG